RNAcentral lists this ribosomal RNA (411 nucleotides) under uncultured bacterium. RNAcentral describes it as "bacterial SSU rRNA". It matches the Rfam family "Bacterial small subunit ribosomal RNA", at positions 28 to 431 of the family's 1533-position model. The record is from RNAcentral.
GACGAACGCUGGCGGCGUGCCUAAUACAUGCAAGUAGAACGCUGAAGGAGGAGCUUGCUUCUCUGGAUGAGUUGCGAACGGGUGAGUAACGCGUAGGUAACCUGCCUGGUAGCGGGGGAUAACUAUUGGAAACGAUAGCUAAUACCGCAUAAGAGUAGAUGUUGCAUGACAUUUACUUAAAAGGUGCACUUGCAUCACUACCAGAUGGACCUGCGUUGUAUUAGCUAGUUGGUGGGGUAAGGGCUCACCAAGGCGACGAUACAUAGCCGACCUGAGAGGGUGAUCGGCCACACUGGGACUGAGACACGGCCCAGACUCCUACGGGAGGCAGCAGUAGGGAAUCUUCGGCAAUGGACGGAAGUCUGACCGAGCAACGCCGCGUGAGUGAAGAAGGUUUUCGGAUCGUAAAGC